Molecule: unclassified non-coding RNA, 200 nt
Filed under: soil metagenome
Description: partial contains internal transcribed spacer 2 and large subunit ribosomal RNA
Source: RNAcentral
AUCAUGAUAAUUGUCGAUGUAACAACCGACUUCAUUGAAAUACAACAAGCUGAAUUAACACACUUGCGGCUUGACCUAUUGUUGUAACUUAAAUUCAAUAGGAACGCAUUAAAGUUGAACGAGCUUACCAUAAAAGUGUCGUAAAACCACACAAAGUGAUCAUCGAUCUCAAAUCAAGUAGGACUACCCGCUGAACUUAA